This 403-nucleotide ribosomal RNA is filed under the name uncultured prokaryote. RNAcentral describes it as "bacterial SSU rRNA". It matches the Rfam family "Bacterial small subunit ribosomal RNA", at positions 355 to 774 of the family's 1533-position model. The record is from RNAcentral.
UCGAGAAUCUUCCGCAAUGGGCGAAAGCCUGACGGAGCGAUGCCGCGUGAGGGAUGAAGGCCUUCGGGUUGUAAACCUCUGUCGCCCGGGACGAAAUUUGACGGUACCGGGAGAGGAAGCUACGGCUAACUACGUGCCAGCAGCCGCGGUAAUACGUAGGUAGCGAGCGUUAUUCGGAUUUACUGGGCGUAAAGGGUCUGCAGGGGGCCUGCCAAGUCUGGCGUGAAAUUCCAAGGCUCAACCUUGGAACUGCGUUGGAUACUGGCGGGCUAGAGUGCAUGAGGGGAGAACAGAAUACCUGGUGUAGCGGUGGAAUGCGCAGAUAUCAGGUGGAACACCGACGGCGAAGGCGGUUCUCUGGCAUGCAACUGACGUUGAGAUGCGAAAGCUAGGGGAGCAAACA